GACGAACGCUGGCGGCGUGCUUAACACAUGCAAGUCGAACGGAAAGGCCCUGCUUUUGUGGGGUGCUCGAGUGGCGAACGGGUGAGUAACACGUGAGUAACCUGCCCUUGACUUUGGGAUAACUUCAGGAAACUGGGGCUAAUACCGGAUAGGAGCUCCUGCUGCAUGGUGGGGGUGGGAAAGUUUCGGCGGUUGGGGAUGGACUCGCGGCUUACCAGCUUGUUGGUGGGGUAGUGGCUUACCAAGGCUUUGACGGGUAGCCGGCCUGAGAGGGUGACCGGCCACAUUGGGACUGAGAUACGGCCCAGACUCCUACGGGAGGCAGCAGUGGGGAAUAUUGCACAAUGGGCGGAAGCCUGAUGCAGCAACGCCGCGUGCGGGAUGACGGCCUUCGGGUUGUAAACCGCUUUCGCCUGUGACGAAGCGUGAGUGACGGUAAUGGGUAAAGAAGCACCGGCUAACUACGU
RNAcentral lists this ribosomal RNA (467 nucleotides) under uncultured bacterium. RNAcentral's name for it is "partial 16S ribosomal RNA". It matches the Rfam family "Bacterial small subunit ribosomal RNA", at positions 28 to 506 of the family's 1533-position model. The record is from RNAcentral.